RNAcentral lists this ribosomal RNA (1352 nucleotides) under uncultured bacterium. RNAcentral describes it as "bacterial SSU rRNA". It matches the Rfam family "Bacterial small subunit ribosomal RNA", at positions 28 to 1381 of the family's 1533-position model. The record is from RNAcentral.
AUUGAACGCUGGCGGCAUGCCUUACACAUGCAAGUCGAACGACAGCACGGAGCUUGCUCUGGUGGCGAGUGGCGAACGGGUGAGUAAUAUAUCGGAACGUACCCUGGAGUGGGGGAUAACGUAGCGAAAGUUACGCUAAUACCGCAUACGAUCUAAGGAUGAAAGUGGGGGAUCGCAAGACCUCAUGCUCGUGGAGCGGCCGAUAUCUGAUUAGCUAGUUGGUAGGGUAAAAGCCUACCAAGGCAUCGAUCAGUAGCUGGUCUGAGAGGACGACCAGCCACACUGGAACUGAGACACGGUCCAGACUCCUACGGGAGGCAGCAGUGGGGAAUUUUGGACAAUGGGCGCAAGCCUGAUCCAGCAAUGCCGCGUGAGUGAAGAAGGCCUUCGGGUUGUAAAGCUCUUUUGUCAGGGAAGAAACGGUGAGAGCUAAUAUCUCUUGCUAAUGACGGUACCUGAAGAAUAAGCACCGGCUAACUACGUGCCAGCAGCCGCGGUAAUACGUAGGGUGCAAGCGUUAAUCGGAAUUACUGGGCGUAAAGCGUGCGCAGGCGGUUUUGUAAGUCUGAUGUGAAAUCCCCGGGCUCAACCUGGGAAUUGCAUUGGAGACUGCAAGGCUAGAAUCUGGCAGAGGGGGGUAGAAUUCCACGUGUAGCAGUGAAAUGCGUAGAUAUGUGGAGGAACACCGAUGGCGAAGGCAGCCCCCUGGGUCAAGAUUGACGCUCAUGCACGAAAGCGUGGGGAGCAAACAGGAUUAGAUACCCUGGUAGUCCACGCCCUAAACGAUGUCUACUAGUUGUCGGGUCUUAAUUGACUUGGUAACGCAGCUAACGCGUGAAGUAGACCGCCUGGGGAGUACGGUCGCAAGAUUAAAACUCAAAGGAAUUGACGGGGACCCGCACAAGCGGUGGAUGAUGUGGAUUAAUUCGAUGCAACGCGAAAAACCUUACCUACCCUUGACAUGGCUGGAAUCCCCGAGAGAUCGGGGAGUGCUCGAAAGAGAACCAGUACACAGGUGCUGCAUGGCUGUCGUCAGCUCGUGUCGUGAGAUGUUGGGUUAAGUCCCGCAACGAGCGCAACCCUUGUCAUUAGUUGCUACGAAAGGGCACUCUAAUGAGACUGCCGGUGACAAACCGGAGGAAGGUGGGGAUGACGUCAAGUCCUCAUGGCCCUUAUGGGUAGGGCUUCACACGUCAUACAAUGGUACAUACAGAGCGCCGCCAACCCGCGAGGGGGAGCUAAUCGCAGAAAGUGUAUCGUAGUCCGGAUUGUAGUCUGCAACUCGACUGCAUGAAGUUGGAAUCGCUAGUAAUCGCGGAUCAGCAUGUCGCGGUGAAUACGUUCCCGGGUCU